AACGACUCUCGGCAACGGAUAUCUCGGCUCUCGCAUCGAUGAAGAACGUAGCGAAAUGCGAUACUUGGUGUGAAUUGCAGAAUCCCGUGAACCAUCGAGUCUUUGAACGCAAGUUGCGCCCGAAGCCUUCUGGCCAAGGGCACGUCUGCCUGGGUGUCACUC
This 162-nucleotide ribosomal RNA is filed under the name Ceriops zippeliana. RNAcentral's name for it is "5.8S ribosomal RNA". It matches the Rfam family "5.8S ribosomal RNA". From Rfam's summary of the family: 5.8S ribosomal RNA (5.8S rRNA) is a component of the large subunit of the eukaryotic ribosome. Lineage: Eukaryota; Viridiplantae; Streptophyta; Magnoliopsida; Malpighiales; Rhizophoraceae. The record is from RNAcentral.